GAUGAACGCUGGCGGCGUGCUUAAUACAUGCAAGUCGAACGGAAAGGCCCUGCUUUUGUGGGGUGCUCGAGUGGCGAACGGGUGAGUAACACGUGAGUAACCUGCCCUUGUCUUUGGGAUAAAUUCUGGAAAAUGGGGCUAAUUCCGGAUAGGAGCUAUUGCUGCAUGGUGGGGGAUGGAAAGUUUCGGCGGUUGGGGCUGGACUCGAGGCUUAUCAGCUUGUUUGUGAGGUAGUGGCUUACCAAGUCUGUGACGGGUAGCCGGCGUGGGAGCGUGACCAGGCUCAUUGGGCCUACGGGAGGCCGCAGUAGCCUACGUUACGCAACGGUCGGAAACAUGACACAAUGGGCCGAAGCCUGAUGCAGCGGCGCCCCGUUCGUGAUGACCGCUUUCGGGUGAAAAACAGCUUUCUCCUUUAACGAAGCGUGAUUGACGGUAAUUAGUAAAGAAGCACCGGCUAACUACGUG
RNAcentral lists this ribosomal RNA (468 nucleotides) under uncultured bacterium. RNAcentral describes it as "partial 16S ribosomal RNA". It matches the Rfam family "Bacterial small subunit ribosomal RNA", at positions 28 to 507 of the family's 1533-position model. The record is from RNAcentral.